UAUACUUCCUGGAAAUUUAAGCCAUAUUUGCUUUUGCUGUAUAUCUGCGUGUCUUGCUACACUGCCAACGGAGAAGACUACAGGGGCUUUCAGAACCAGACCAGCCUUCACGGUGGGAAACCCUGCCUCUUCUGGAACGAGACCUUCCAGCACCCUUACAACACCCUCAAGUACCCCAAUGGAGAGGGAGGUCUGGGCAGCCACAACUACUGCAGGAAUCCUGAUGGGGAUGUUCAACCGUGGUGCUACAUUGCCGAUCACGAGGAUGGCAUCUACUGGCGGUACUGUGACAUCCCCACAUGCCAGAUGCCGGGAAACUUGGGCUGUUUCAAAGACAGCGGGGACCCGCCCACCCUGUCCGGCUCCAGCGAGACGUCCAACAAGCUCACCAUCCAGAACUGCAUCACGUUCUGCAGGAAGCAAAGAUACAGGCUGGCUGGCAUGGAGUCGGGCUACGCCUGUUUCUGUGGCAACGAGGUGGACCUGCGCAGUCACGGGGAGUCGCCCAGCAUGGAGUGUAACCAUGUUUGUUUCGGCGACCACACGCAGCCCUGCGGCGGCGACGGCUGGGUCAUCAUCUUUGACACACGUGUGGGGGCCUGCGGCGGGAACUACACCUCCCCGUCGGGGGUGAUCUACUCCCCCGACUUCCCCGACAAAUACGGGGCGGGCCGCGUCUGCUACUGGACCAUCCAGGUCCCGGGGGCCGCCGCCAUCCUCUUCAACUUCACCUUCUUCGACGUGUCCCACCAGACCGACAUGGUGGAGCUCCUGGACGGCUACACCAACCAGGUGGUGGCCCGCUUCGACUUCCGCAGCCCGCCGCUGGAGCUGGUCAACGUCACGGGCGACUUCGUCAUCCUGUACUUCUACUCGGACCGAACCAACCAGGCGCAGGGAUUCGCUCUGCUGUAUCAAGGUGAGGAUGGCCUGGAGUCAUGGACACGCACCACGUCCAACGGCCACUCCACCCAGAUCCUCUACGUGAUCACCUCCAGCCCCGGGAAACCGGAGCACAACAUGCCAGGUCAGUGGCCUGGAAGCGGCGAGAGCACCGGCCACAGCGCUAUGUGGACCAUCUACGCUCUGGCUGCUCUCCUCAUCCUCACCGUCAUCGCCAUGGUGGCCAAGCUGCUGCUGCACGUCACAGUCAAGUCCCCGAACAUCCCCACGGUGAGCGGCUCCGACAGCUGCAGCCAGAGCACGGCGUCCACCGAGCCGUGGAUCAUCUUCUACCGGCCGUCCACCAUCUCGCUCUUCAAGAAGAAGCUAAAGAACCACCACGGAGACCGCAGCCCGCUGGUGGGCAACUAGCGCGCUCGCCAAGCUCCACCUUUAAUCCGAAACGCCUCUGUCAACCCACAAAAUAAAAAAAAAAACUGCUCUGUAGGAGGAGCCGCC
This 1401-nucleotide long non-coding RNA is filed under the name Salarias fasciatus (jewelled blenny). Its description in RNAcentral is "lncRNA (ENSSFAG00005019295.1)". Lineage: Eukaryota; Metazoa; Chordata; Actinopteri; Blenniiformes; Blenniidae. The record is from RNAcentral.